UCAACAUAGCUAAUGCACACGCGAUUGAAGAGGACGACCUUCUGCAAUAGAGAAGGACUGUUCUUCAUUCAAGGGUGUAUGAGUAGCUGCACUCCCCUACUAGAAACUCCAAACAAGUUCUCAAAAUAGCGAAAUACUAUUUACACUGUGAACCACAGU
Colobus angolensis palliatus is the source of this 159-nucleotide unclassified non-coding RNA. Its record names the gene 7SK. It matches the Rfam family "7SK RNA". From Rfam's summary of the family: 7SK was discovered as an abundant small nuclear RNA in the mid-70s but a possible function has only recently been suggested. Two independent studies have found that 7SK RNA binds the CDK9/cyclin T complex (known as elongation factor P-TEFb). P-TEFb activates transcription by phosphorylating the C-terminal domain of RNA polymerase II. NCBI's taxonomy places the organism in Eukaryota, Metazoa, Chordata, Mammalia, Primates, Cercopithecidae. The record is from Ensembl.